Microcebus murinus (gray mouse lemur) is the source of this 4020-nucleotide non-coding RNA. The record is from RefSeq and is a predicted model, not a curated record. NCBI's taxonomy places the organism in Eukaryota, Metazoa, Chordata, Mammalia, Primates, Cheirogaleidae.
UUUACUUAACUUCAUAUAUCCAAAAUAUUCUCAUUUCAGCGUGUAACCUACAUGAAACUUAUUAAUGGGAUCGGUUACUUCCUUCACGCCAGGUCAGUGAACUCCAGGCUGUGGUGUGUAUUGCACCUUCCAGCCCCUCCCAGGACGGCACACUCCUGGGUCCCAGCAGCUGCAGGUGCGGGCAGCGGGGAUGGGGCAGGCUGGACGGAGGUAACAACCACCACUCGGUUCCGGCCCGAUCAGCUGCGCUGCAGUCUUUCUAGUUCCCUAACGCCGAAGCUCCCCGUCCUCCAGAGACCCCAGAACACACCUCUCCAGGCGCCGCCCUACCGCCUCCUGGAGAAUGGCGCCUGUGCUGUCCUCUUCGGGCUGUUCCGCCAGCCUGCCUUACUCAGUAGGUCAUGCGGCACUUUAUGAUUCCAAAAGGAAAGCCCGAACAUAGCAAAUGCGUGUGUGAGAGCUCCCGACACAUCCUGGGCUUCUAGGACAGAAGGCACAUUCUGGUCCUUUGUCUUCACUGCCCCCUGCCAACCUCUGUCUCGCCACCACUUCUCCUCGGAUGUUCUUUUCCCCUCUGCCCUUCCCAGACUGAGCGGGGUGGGGGUGAGCUGCUGGGGCAUUCCUGAGCCCCACCCCAGGCAAGACAUUUGCAGAGGGCGGGGCAGGACCAGCCUCGCCUUGCCGUCCGUGCCACAGCAGCAAGUCCGCAGGGGGCCCGCCGCACCUGCGUGGACACGAAGGCCAGCCUGGCGGGCUCCCGAGAGAGUGCCGCAGAUCCACCCACGGAGGGUCCGCAGGUGCCCACAGCCCAGGCAGGUGGCCAGGAGAGGUACGAGCAUAACGCUGUCCAGGGAUAAGAUGAGAGAACAUAGGCCCCACUCAGGGCAUUUAGACUCACUAUUUAACCCUGCACACGCUAAAUAAAACUGGUCAGAGCCCAAGAGUCAUUCGGGUGUGGUUCCUGACAGAAGAAUGUGCACUGGGGACUGGUGGCCGGUAUCUGAGGGGCCACCACCUCCGCUCCCGCCAGCCCCUUUCAGGCCUGACUGCGAGUUCCUGUCCCGUCUCCAUGUUCACGUGAGUCAACACCCACAUCACUGACCUCACAAUCAGCCUUCUGAACUCACAGAUCCUCAGUGCUCUCUUCCAGCGACCCUAAAUCCCAUUCAGAAUGGGACCCUCCGAAGGAGUGAAGCGAGACACGUAACUGGGAAUCCCGUGGCAGCCUGUCUCCUCUGCGCCGUGCCAGGCGCUGUCUCUGCGCCCUAAGCUGUAGGCCCCCAGCAGCUGCGGUGCUGCAGGCUGACCCCACAGCCACGGGAGCAUCCUGUGGGCCGAGGCGAGCCUGGACACCCUCACAGUCUCUGUGCUGUCAGAGCCCUGCUGAGCCGCGCGGGCUGUCCCUGGUCCACAUGCGAUGUGUCGCUGUUGGCGUUCCAAUGUGAAUCCAGCCCGUGCACUGGGCCUGCAGCCCUGCCCAGGAGGCCAGAUGGAAGUCCAGGUGCCUUGUCCAGCCCUGCCCAUCCCCUUCUCAAGAGGUUAGACUCUGCCCUACACCUCCAACCAGGUGCUAAACAGAUCGUGCGGAACAGGAAUAUCAUUAUCCUCAUUUACUGGAAACUUCUACCAUUGCCCAGCUACUGGAAUAGGUUUCCCCCGGAAGUUGACCCUGGCUUGAAUCCUGUCUGCUUCUGCCACACCUAUUUCCGGCUUCCCCUUCCUCCUGGCCUGCUCCUGCAGUCCCAAGAGGCUGCCCUGCCCGGUUGCACAGGUGCUAAUCACUGCUGGAGAAAACCACAGGGCUAAACCACUGGAUGCUGUUAGGAUUAGGAUCGCUGGCACAUGCAGCAAACAGAUCAUCUCAUCCUGCUUCCCCCUCCUGCGGGAAAGCCGCCCGGAGCCAGUCCUCAAGUCUCCGAAAUGCACUCAGCAGAACACGUUCUCUCCUGCUCUCAGAGAAACUAAGAGCUUGGGAAACACCUGCCUUCAGGUUCCAGUGGCGUUCAAGAGAAACCCUUCCUUUCUUCCUGCCCACAUGCUCUUGGCCUCCUCAGCCGCAGACUCCGCCAGUUUUUCUUCUACUGCUUCGUCACCUUUGCAGAAUACUUCUGACACCGGGUAUGGGGAGUUUCUCUGCACGCGCCAGGCAAGUCACUGAUUCUAUAGCAGUGGACGCUGGCAGGAUAUCUUCUAAUUCGCUGCAGCGCUGACACUGUCUACCUGGAGGUGGUGUGACACCCACAGUUCAUUCCUGCAGCUGAGUCCCUGUGCAGCUGUGGAUCCGGCCCCCACAGCCCCUCUUCGGCGAGAUGGCUCACAGGACUCAGAGAGACACUCUCGCCUACCAGAUUAUCGUGGAAAGCACUUUAAAGGUUACAGGGGAAGAGAUGCACAGGGUAAGGAAGAGGAUGAGGAGCUUCCAUGCCCUCCCUGGCACGCCAGCCUCCAGGAACCUCCACCUGUUGGCACCCCAGCUCUCCGAGCCCUGCCCCUCUGAGUUUUUGUGGAGGCUUCGUCAGUGAAGCUUGCAGUUAUCUAUCCAUCCACUGCCCUCCGCCAUCCUCCCAGCACUUAAGCAUGAGUUCGGUGUCUAAGACCAUCCUCUCUGCCGGGGCUGGGGACGCAGAGCCUCGCGAGGGGUCGCUGGGAUGCUGCACCAUGGCCAGGUGGACGCAGCCAACAGAGGCGCCACCAUGAGUAGCAGCUCUAAGGUCUUGGGACUACUUAUGCACAGCAAAGCCCUGUCUUACCCCUUCCUGGUGAUUGGUAUCCCACUGGAACAGUGAGUGAAGACUUCAGGUGACAGGGGAAAUCUCAGACACUGCAUUUUUUGAAGGAGCCCAGAUAGAUCAUCUUUUAACACAGCUGAAUGUCGAGAAUCACUUUUCUGUAGACUCUGCAAAACCUCAGGUGCAGCCAGACAUUACCAAGCACUGAAUGAAAGCUUCCAAAAUUUCUGCCUGCAUCCAUGUUGCCUGGGUCAGAAAGAACCAGCGCUUGAGGAGUAAGAGCGGUGAGCGCCGCUGCCCCUGGGGCAGACUGGCCCGCAGGUGCGGCGGCUCAGGGCACCUGUGUUGGGGAGUGUGGAGACCCAGCGGUGGCAGAGGAAGGAGGUGUGCAGGGCGGACCUGCCCCACUUCCCUCUCCUGGGGACAGCAGGAGAGGGGCUGAAGCCACUGUGUCUGGCUGGCGUGAGCUGAGGAGGUUGGUGGGGGUGCCGCUCUUGGCGACUCACCUGGGAAGGCCUCGAUGUGCUGCCCAGAGAAGCGGGCACUGCUUUCCCGGGACCCACACACUCAGCUCUCAAUGUCAGGAGGUGGACAGUAGCCCUGAAGACUCAAGCUCCUGCUCCGCAAAGCGAGGCCAGCAGGAGAAACUGCUGUUUGCGUAAGAACAAAAGCGGGGAGGUGGUGUUGUCAAAACCGGGAAGAUGCCCCAGGCAGGCAAGAGUGGGUGAGCCCCGGGCACCUGUCGCCACCCCACAUGGAGGCCUGGGGCAGCUGAGGCUUUGGGGAGCAGGAUGCCAGUCCUCCACGGCUGUGCGGAGGCAGAAAUUGCCUCUGCUGCCUCUGAGCCGCGCGGCAAGCUCUCUCUGGCCACCAGCGACACGGUAUGAACUGCAUUUCUAGGGCCGUCAGGCUCCAGAGCCCUAAAGAUGACAGUGGGCGAAAAGGACACAGCAGUACAGUGAUGCAACCACACCCAUUUCCAGGGGCCACGGACCGCAGGGUCCUGUGUGAUCUAAGUGAGGGGAAGGAGCCCCAAGAACAGCCAGUAUCAUGUUUCUUGUUAAGCCCAGGGAGCAGAUGCUUGGAGCCAGGUGCAAUUUGACUUAGAAAAAUAAAGAAAUGUGAUGCUUCUCACACCUGAGUGUGGAGGAGCAAUUCAUAACUUGCACUAUCCACUUAUUGAUUCCUCUGUCCACGUGCAAAGGAUUUGAGAGCACCUUGGCUGCCGCAAGCUGCGGGCUCCUCAGGGCUCAGCAUCCAGCCUGUACAAGGCACUUUUGCAAGAGCUAAA